GGGAUACAUUUUAAGGGAAGGGGAGUUUAAAAAAGUGAAUGCUUUUAUUCUAAGUAUACCUUUUAUUCUAUAUUCUGUAUUACCUUUUGGAGAACGUUACAUCACUCAGAAAAAUAAAGUAACUCCCAAUAUGUAUCUAUUUAGGAUUAAUAUUUUUAAAUAGUUUUGGUUUGAAAAUGUAUUCAUUCACUCAAAAGUAGGUACAGCUUUAGACCUAGACUUUGAGUUGUCCGUUUGUGAUGGUCUUUUAAAUUGUGGUUUUAAUAAGGAGAAAGACGUGUGACAGUGUCCUGUGACUGCUGCUGUCCACGUUUAUGAAAACAGUAUGUCCUCAGAGUGAUGUGGGGUUGGUGAGAAGUUCUUCUGAUUCUGCGGCCUCAGUGAGUUUAAGAGAAGUUUCUUAUGUAGUCUUAGCUUUUCCGUACCAGCUUUCUUUCAUCAACCUUUCCUAACAAUAAAGAAGAAGAAAAUAGCAACAGUUUUAUUUCCCCUGGUUUACCUUUCUUAUUUCUGUGACUACAUGACACCAAAGUAACUGGUUGGGAAACCAAUUCAGAUGACCAGUUGCUAGUUUUCACAACUUCUGAUCAAACUCUCAGUUGGACUGACAUUUAUUACCAGUGAAAAGACUGAAUAUUUGGAUUCCUGUGGAGUCAGCCUUUGUCUCUUCCCAUUUUCCACAGUUCUCCAAUUUUUCCCUCUUACUACCCAGUUUCCUCCAAUUGUUUCCUACUGCGUUUAGGGGAAUUUCUUCCUUAUGGUUCUGAAUCUUUGGAAUUACAAGAGACAUGAGAACAGGGCUUCUCAUCGAGGUUAUGUUUUCCCAUGUCCACUAUUAAAUAGUUUUUUCUAUCAUGAAAGCAAACAUAGGAAGAAACCAACAUAUCUGAGAUCCAUAAAGGUGAACCCCUACCCCCUUUUUUCAAAACUUCAUUUUGUGCAGAAAGGCAACAUUAAAAACUUUUCCUCCAUAUAUUCUGUCUACGAAAGCUCUAUAAAGAUGAGAAAUAUGAUAUAGUUAUGCAGCUCUUCUAUGUUAGGGACAUAGCAUGUGCAUGUCGGCAUUUAGCUGCUGUCAGUAUUUUCGCUGCAGGGAUAUUCAGCAGGAACGAGAAUCAGCACCCAGAACCUGGUUGCCACAACACAAGGAUACACUGUUCUUCUCAGUCCUAGAGAUGUCGACUUGCCUUGCAUCCAGCUUUUCUUAGGUGUGGCCAGUGGUGGCUUGUUAGCGGGCCUGAUACCUGAUGUUCUGAUCAGUCUGUCUGAAACUGUCUUCUUCCUUCUAUAUUAGGAGAAGAUACAUUUUGAAUGUUUCAUCAGUAAUCAAAUAACCAACAUGUGGGAUAUACAGGACAUAAGGGAACUAACAAUCAAACACCAGUUACUGAAUACUCCAUGACACCCGUGGAAUGCGGCCAGGAAACGUGAAGCGUAUGACGGAUAGUACGCAAAAGAGAAAUAACUGAGAAGUCACAGAGUUAAGGCAAGUUUUAAGUCUCCUUUAAAUGCCUUGGAGCAAAACAGGCCAAUUACAGCUUUUGUUUGAAUGAAUCCAUCCAGUAGGAACUUCUGUCAAUAUGCAGGGAAAUCUACAUCAUUGCUACUCAAAGUGUGGUCCACAGACCAGCAGCAUCAGCAUCAGCAUCACCGAAGACCUUUUUAGAAAUAUAGACUCUUGGGGCCCAUUCCACACCUACUGAAUCAGAAGUUGCAUUUUAGCAAGGUCUGCAGGUAAUUGAGAAACACUGAUUUAGGUCAUGGUUAGAAUUAAGACUACUUUAUCUGUUUUAGUUCAGCUGCUUCAGGUUUUGAAUGCUGGAGUCCUUCCUCCUUGCCUCCCCCGCCCCCUUCUUGUUCUUCAUUUUCAUGAAACAUUUGGGAGAACAUUGCUAAAGAAAAAAGUUUCAAAUUUUUUUGAGACAACAGAAGAAAAAGAGCACCACUUUAUAACUUUGUCCAACUCCAAAUUGAGAUUCAAUGAAAGGGAAAAUAUAAAAUAGCUCCAGUCGUUUGCAUACAAUAUAUGGCUUGAACUUUGUUCUGUAUAAGGCUUUGUCUCCAAAUAAAACAAUUGUAUGAAAAACCCCACUAACUUCAUCUUCUUUAAUUUUCUGUGGUCUCUCCGUCCCUUCCAGCUGUGAAAUGCCUAUUUUCUUUUCCUCAGUCUCUUUCUCUCAUGCCUCCCCUCGCUCGCCCCCUCUUCCAGCUGGUAACAGUUUAUGAAGCAUGUUGCAGUGUUAAUACCGUGUUAAGGUGCUUUCAGCUGUUGGGUCUUUGAGACGUCAACGUCAGGACUGUUUUACUGUGAACGCUUGGCGGGUAGGGUAAAUCUGGGGACAUGCUGAACUUCUAGCUCCUCACCCUGUAGGAAGCCUUACAGCUAUAGGCACCUCUCCCAUAAUGCAGUGUUGCUGGCUGGAAAUAUUCAUCGUCCAGAUCUCCAGCUGUGAGGAGAGAAAGAGGCCUAAUUUGGAAUAAUUUCCUGGGAGUGAGAGCAGGUCCAUCCAUGUUGCUGCAAAUGGCAAGAUUUCAUUCUUUUUAAUGGGUCAUGAAACAUAUGGCCUAUAAAAUCAUUCCCAUUGGGAAAGAAUGGCAGAAAAGUCAUCCUCCUUUGAAGAUAAGUUUAAUUAAAAAGUAAAUUCCAGGGGCUGGCCUGGUGGUGAAGCACGUUCCGCUUCAGCAGCCUGGGGUUCGCCGGUUUGGAUCCCAGGUGCUGACCUAUACACCGCUUGUCAAGCCAUGCCGUGGCAGGCGUCCCACAUGUAAAGAAGAGGAAGAUGGGCAUGGAUGUUAGCUCAGGGCCAGUCUUCCUCAGCAAAAAGAGGAGGAUUAGUGGCAGAUGUUAGCUCAGGGCUAAUCUUCCUCAAAAAAAAAAAAAAAAAAAGUAAAUUCCAUCCUCUCAACAUCACAUCAGUGAUUGCUGCACAAUAACAUUGUUCAUAGCAAAAUUCCUGAUUGUUACUCAUUUUGUUUUUUAAAGCAAAUGCUGUCAUUGAGGAUUAAAAAUGUUUUUUUCAAUUAUACAAAUACAAAAAUGUUUAUUUUUAACUCAUCUAUAACAUUUUACAUGUACUUUUAAAUAGUUGUUUAAAAUAGUUGGAAAUAGGAUUUCUAAAUUAAUCAUUGUUUUAAAUAGUUUGGAUUAAGAUUUCUGAAUACUGGAUCUCCUGUGAAAUGAGGGAGUGGAGGGCAGAAUGUUUAUAAUAAAGUGCUUUACAUACUAAUCAUCUAGAAUGGGAUAGAAUAAACUGUUUCAAAUAUCCUUCCAGUUGUAAUGAUAGGAUGUUUUUAGGUAAAUUUACAGAAUUUGUUUUAUUUUACAAAUUGAUUGGUGUAUUCAUCAUUCACAGAUUUAUUAGUGAAAGCUGGAUUCUAAAUGACUUUCCUAUGAUAAGCUUUCCAAUUAAUUCUUCUCACACUGUUUUCCUGGUGACACUUGAACUUCCUUCAUUAUAUAAAACACAUCUGGAGUGAGACAUUGCUGAAUAAUAAUCAUGGAUGCUAACGUGUUAAGUAUUGGACCCCUGACAUAGUCAAAUGUGUUCUGGUUUAAAACAAUGACCUCAACUAAUGCUGCUUUAAGCGAACCACAUUUAGCAAGAAUAUAUAGGCAUGUCUGUUGAGCUCGCCUGUCUUGCGCUAGAAUUGGUCAAAAAGAGAGAAAUCAAAUUGCAAACUGUCUCCUUUGUGUAAUAGAGUUGGCUAUAUUAAGUCAUAUUUUUCCUCUCAUCAGCAAAUAUUUUUUCUUCUCUCUUGUCUUAUAUGAAAAAUAUUGCAAUAAGUAAAUAUUAAAAAAGGAUUAUCUAAAACAUAUGUUAAAUUAUGUAUUACUUAAAAUUUACAUUUGUAUCAUAGGGUUACUGAAUUUUUUCUGUGGUGUAUUUCAUAAAAGAGAAGAUGCUGAUAAGAUCUUGUUUAAAUGGCUUGCUAAUACAAGAAGCAGAUCAUUUAAAAUGAAACUUACAUCUUUAUAGGAUGUUAGAAAUGAAGACAUUACUUCAAAAUGUAGGUAAUUAUUGCCUCCUCUUUUAUCAGUGCUAUUUUCUGAGGUAUUAUCAUAAGAGAGCACUUUAGUAUUAAACACAGCCUUCGAGUGGCUAUAAAUCAGGCCAACUGAGUCAUCAUUGUCUAAGGCAUCUGAACUACUGCAAUGUUGUGGAUCCUACCGAGAGUGUGAAAUCACUUGACCCUUGGCAUUAACCUUCGCUGAAUGAAUAGACACUGCUUUCCACAUUGAGGAACAAAGCAGAAGACUAUUGAUUAAACACCACAUUCACUUGAUAUUAAAUACCGGCUGAACUCACUUCUUGCUUCCAGUUCCAGAGGGAGAAACCCAGAGAGUUGCUGAGUCUCAGGAGAAUGGAUGUUUGUAAUUCAGAGCAAUGUUUUUCCUGCAAAGUACUUUUUUUCUCCUUUGAUCAAUACCUAGCAGCCAUGAUCAGCCAUGAGUAUGUAUUGUCAAUUCUGACCUGUGUAUUUUAUCACUUAAGGUGAGAGGUCACAGUGCUGUGACUAAUAUUUCAGUUCUCAGCAUGAAUUGUUUCCUGACUUCAAUAUCUGUGUGAAGCAGCCAUUUCUUUCAUUUCAUUUCUUGUUUAUGAAUCAUUUUUUUUGACAGUUGAUUUGCCUGCAUUAAUAAAACACAUUAUUUAAAACAAAUUUUUUUAAUCACUGUUUUUGCAGAUGGUGAAUUUUCUAGAACUUGACAUUAUUAGAAGAAAUCAUAAUCACAGGACGUUUUAUGAUUUAUGGUUUAUGUUAUUUGGGAAAGAGAAACAUAGUUCAAUAAAUUUCUCAAGUUAGAAGAAAGCAAAAGCUUUGGAAGAGAGUACAGUGAUGCUUAUGAGUGUAAAGGGAACAAUAAAAGAUAUUUUACAGGAAGUCUUAAGCUAAUUGUCCUCUGAUCCACUGCUUGUACCUACACUAUUGACAACAGUUUGACAGCUUCUUGGUAGACUUACUUUAUCCAGAAGGUGAACAUUUAUUGUUGACAUAUAAAUUAAUUCAAUUCAUAGAACUAGAAUUAAGUUUAAAAUUUUAGCCACAAACAAGAAAAGCAUUUACACCUUAAAUUUAAAUAGUUUCUAUGUGCUUAUAAACUGGAAUUACUUUAUUGCAGGAAGCAACAGAAAUAGCUACAAUUUCUUUCUUCUCUCUCAAAGUUUUCAUAUUAUUUUGGAACAAAUAAUUACAUAUUAUCUGGCCUGGAUAUUGCACGAGUAAAACUCUUUAUAAAUAAUUGUUUUCCUUGCUAUAGGUUUUGACUGGCUUGUGUUCAACACUGAGGAUUCUAGAUCAGCUCGUUGUGAGUUUGUCAUGGUUAAGCAAAGAUCAUUACUUGUCUGAAUAAUCGAAAAUAUUUCCUCUAAGGACAUAAUGGUGUAAUUUAAUACACACGAUCUCACACAGUUUGCACGAUGUUAGAAAAGGAAUAUU
RNAcentral lists this long non-coding RNA (5439 nucleotides) under Equus caballus (horse). Its description in RNAcentral is "lncRNA (ENSECAG00000051729.1)". The record is from RNAcentral. Lineage: Eukaryota; Metazoa; Chordata; Mammalia; Perissodactyla; Equidae.